GACGAACGCUGGCGGCGUGCUUAACACAUGCAAGUCGAACGCUGAAGCUCAGCUUUUGUUGGGUGGAUGAGUGGCGAACGGGUGAGUAACACGUGAGUAACCUGCCCCCUUCUUUGGGAUAACGCCCGGAAACGGGUGCUAAUACUGGAUAUUCACUGGUCUUCGCAUGGGGGUUGGUGGAAAGGGUUGUUCUGGUGGGGGAUGGGCUCGCGGCCUAUCAGCUUGUUGGUGGGGUGAUGGCCUACCAAGGCUUUGACGGGUAGCCGGCCUGAGAGGGUGACCGGUCACAUUGGGACUGAGAUACGGCCCAGACUCCUACGGGAGGCAGCAGUGGGGAAUAUUGCACAAUGGGCGCAAGCCUGAUGCAGCGACGCCGCGUGAGGGAUGGAGGCCUUCGGGUUGUGAACCUCUUUCGCUCAUGGUCAAGCCGCAACAAUGGUUGUGGUGAGGGUAGUGGGUAAAGAAGCGCCGGCUAACUACGUG
This 483-nucleotide ribosomal RNA is filed under the name uncultured bacterium. Its description in RNAcentral is "partial 16S ribosomal RNA". It matches the Rfam family "Bacterial small subunit ribosomal RNA", at positions 28 to 507 of the family's 1533-position model. The record is from RNAcentral.